RNAcentral lists this transfer-messenger RNA (349 nucleotides) under Bacillota bacterium. It matches the Rfam family "transfer-messenger RNA". From Rfam's summary of the family: Bacterial tmRNA, also known as 10Sa RNA or SsrA, is named for its dual tRNA and mRNA-like properties. Its role is to liberate the mRNA from a stalled ribosome. Lineage: Bacteria; Bacillati; Bacillota. The record is from RNAcentral.
GGGGAUGUAAAGGUUUCGACGGGGAUUGUAAACUUAAAUAAGCGAGUAGCGGUGCGGAACCGCUAUAAAAUCCGUAUGUUUAUAAAUUAAACAACAAUAACACACAACUCUGCGCAGCUUAAGUCUGCGUCGUCUUAUCAGAGCUUACCGCGGCUCUGAAUAAGGCGUCAUUUAGCGGUGAACGUGAAUAAAAGAGUGUCUCGGCUUUUAUCAUGAACUAGAGUCUACCGAAGUGCAGAGCCUGUCUUUGGGCGAUGCAUGGGGGGGAAUCCUAAUACAAAGACUGCACUCGGAGAAAGUUUAAGCAAAUGGUUUUCGGACGCGGGUUCAAUUCCCGCCAUCUCCACCA